AUCAUCGUUUCAGAAGAAAAUUGCUUUGAUCUUUAUUUGCAUUCCUGUUAGUCCUGGUAAUAGCAGACUGAUUUGGUGCUCUCCAAGAAAUUUCGGACUGUGGAUUGACAAAAUUGUACCGCGAUGGAUUUUUCAUCUGAGACAAAACUUGAUUAUAGAUUCAGAUUUAUAUCUUCUACAUGUUGAGGUAAUUCCUUUUAUAAUAUACAAAUCACUUGUCGUGUUGGAAAACAAUUUAGAAGUCUUAUUCAUCAAGUAAUGUUACUAAAUUAAUUUUGAUAGGAAAAGAAAAUAAUGGAUGUUGGUCAAGAAAAUUGGCAUAAGGCCUGUUUUGUGCCAACAAAAUCAGAUGCUCUUGUGAUUGGUUUUAGGAAGUGGUUGAAGAAGUAUGCAGGUGGUCAAGUUGAUUGGAGAGGAAAAUAUAGCGGCGCUCUUCCUCCUACACCUCCUAGAGAACAACUUUUGGACCGGUAAAUCACAUAAGAUUGUGUUUGACACAUUGAAGUUUCAGUUUAGUUAUAUUUUCAUAUGUCAAGUUUCAGUUUAAGUAUGGUUAUCAGUGUUCACCAGUACAUGCAAAUCAUAUCUUGCUUUGACACAAAACUUAACCUAAUCGAUAUGAAUCUCUAGUGUGUAUUUUGAACAUGUUCUUGAUUACAAAUUAUCAAAUUUGAACAGGUACUGGAGCCAUGUGGUGAAUUGCAGAAGUUGCAGUUUGGCCUAUAAGAGCCUCAAUGUGGUGGAAGUGGCGCUGCAGAUCAUAUCAGUUGCUGCAAUUGGGAUUUUUGCCGCAAUGAAGCAGGGUGCAGUUUCAGCUGUAACAAGAAAUUCAAUGGUUCUGAUGGCGGUACUUUCAUUUGCAUUGUCGCUGUUGUUAGCUCACUUCAUAUACAAAUACUUCCGAUAUCAUGACUACGAACAUGCCUUUCACUGAAAUGUGUUUCCUUAGUUAUUGAUGUGAUGAAAUAUCCAACAUUGUUGUGUGUGUGUAGUCAAGUUGUACUAAAACAUAGCUAGUAAUUAUUGGUAUCUAACAUAUUGCUAUAAAAACUGUUAUCCUUCUGUUAUGGAACCUGUGAAGGGAUGUAUGUUGACACUUUCUUAGUGACUCAAAUUCUUAUAUUCUUUGUUGGAUGAGGGCAGUUUUAGUCCUACCAGUACCUUUACUAAAUUUUACAAUUCUUGUCCUACAAGAAAAGAUUCACGCAGUUUUAGUCCCUUCUAAAAUCAAAUUUAGAAUUUUAUAGCAUGACAUGACAUGAGAUUAAAAUAAAUAUGAAUUUUUUAAAAGUCAAAAAGUUCAACUAAAAAAUGUGUCAAAAAAAAGUUCAACUAAAAAUAAUGAAUAUCUGUACUAAAAAUCAAAUUUUGAGUUUUUUUUUUUGUGAAUAAACAUUUUUUUUUUUGACAAGAGAAAACUUAAUUCAUAUCAUUGAUCAAAAUGUUCUCAAUACAACGAAGAAUCGACUCAAAAAUAUAGUGACCAGACAUGGAAUAUGCCGCUCGUGCUAAGGCGUGGGCGGCCAUAUUCGCUUGUCGCUUUACAAAUUUAACCUCAAAGUUGGACUUUGAUAAUAAUAAAGACUUAAUGCUAGAAAUCAACAACUAAACUCAGAUAUUCCUAUUUGGCUAGAAUCAUAUUUGCCGCUUUUUCUGAAAAUAAAGAAUUUAUCUUUUCAACAUCCCAUUGUUUUGAGUUAGGAGUCAUAAGUUGUUGAAUAGAUAAAUUGUACACACCAUAGUGGAGAGAUUAAAUGCUUAUAAUAUGAACUUAAUUGAGUAGCUAUAAUAUGAUCCUCUACAUCACGGCGGCCAGUUUUAUAAUGGUGUUAUAUCAUAUAAUUUUUUUGCAGAAAUCAUCGUUUCAGAAGAAAUUUGCUUUGAUCUUUAUUUGCAUUCCUGUUAGUCCUGGUAAUAGCAGACUGAUUUUGUGCUCUCCAAGAAAUUUCGGACUGUGAAUUGACAAAAUUGUACCGCGAUGGAUGUUUCAUCUGAGACUAAACUUGAUUCUAGAUUCAGAUUUAUAUCUUCUCCAUGUUGAGGUAAUUCCAUUUAUAAUUUACGAAUCAUUGUUGGAGAACAAUGUAGAAGUUUGAUUCAUCAAUUAAUGUUACAAUAUUAAUUUUGAUAGGAAAAAAAAAAUAAUGGAUGUUGGUCAAGAAAAUUGGCAUAAGGCCUGUUUUGUGCCAACAAAAGCAGAUGCUCUUGUGAUUGGUUUUAGAAAGUGGUUGAAGAAGUAUGCAGGUGGUCAAGUUGAUUGGAGAGGAAAAUAUAGCGGCGCUCUUCCUCCUACACCUCCUAGAGAACAGCUUUUGGACAGGUAACCUAAUCGAUAUGAAUCUCAAGUGUGUAUAUAUAUUGAACAUGAAUCUCAUCUUGAAUCCCAGUUCAUUAUGAUGAAUCUCGUUUUAUUAAUGACAAGAAUUUAUUGAGGUUCAUAUAUGAUAUAUCAACUUAAACUUUUGUUAUGUA
This 2472-nucleotide long non-coding RNA is filed under the name Trifolium pratense (red clover). RNAcentral's name for it is "long non-coding RNA (TPRA_LNC001240)". The record is from RNAcentral. Lineage: Eukaryota; Viridiplantae; Streptophyta; Magnoliopsida; Fabales; Fabaceae.